UACGAAGGGGGCUAGCGUUGUUCGGAAUUACUGGGCGUAAAGCGCGUGUAGGCGGGCCGUUAAGUCGGGGGUGAAAGGCCAGAGCUCAACUCUGGAACUGCCUUCGAUACUGGCGGCCUGGAGCAUGAUAGAGGCGAGUGGAAUUGCGAGUGUAGAGGCGAAAUUGGUAGAUAUUCGCAGGAACAGCAGUGGCGAAGGCGACUCGCUGGAUCAUUGCUGACGCUGAGACGCGAAAGCGUGGGGAGCAAACAGG
Molecule: ribosomal RNA, 253 nt
Filed under: uncultured bacterium
Lineage: Bacteria
Description: partial 16S ribosomal RNA
Rfam family: Bacterial small subunit ribosomal RNA
Source: RNAcentral